Molecule: long non-coding RNA, 983 nt
Organism: Anopheles merus
Lineage: Eukaryota; Metazoa; Arthropoda; Insecta; Diptera; Culicidae
Exons: 2
Source: RefSeq, a predicted model, not a curated record
CCAAGCUUGAUGGUGGUGGUGGUGUCGAUGGCGAUGGCGGUGUACGGAAGAUCGUGAGCGUGUGAGACAGAAAGGAGUAGAACAGACAAGAGAUGGAUGAUAACGGGGCUGGAGCAAAAAAAGAUAAAAAAGAAAAAGAGGACGAAAAUGUCUCCUCCUCUCUUGACGAAAAUUACAUUACCGAACGGGUGUAAUGUAUGAUGUUACGCUUGGGGACAAAGAAGAGGCACCAAAUUUGUUAGGAUCGUUUUUGUGGUGGGUUGUGGUGUGUGUAUGUGUGUACGUUGGUUGUUAUACGUGUUGCUGAAAUGCUGCUGCUGCUGCUGCUGCCUUUCGAUGUCUUAUCCUCGAGGGGGGAAAGAAUGUGUUGUGUAUGUGUGUGCGGUAAAAUGCGAGAAAGUUUGGCCGAACUGAUAGCAAGCGCACGCUGCAAGGGGAAGAAAAGUAGGAAAAAAUAACGUUAAACGGUAUAAGAAGCGCUUGAAAACUACGAGGCGCCUCCAUAUUACUGUGUGGCUGUGAAGGAAGGACGAAAAAAAAAGAAACGAAGCUCACAACAUCAAAGUAACACUUGAAGUGGCGCUGUGUGUUUUGCCUGCGUUCGGGGACGAGUGAUAUUGAAACGCGGGUUUUCGGUAGGACGGCUUCUUCAACGUGCGGUCUUGGCCAGAGAUGUCACACCAGGAAGGGUUGGUGUGGAGAGACCAUCCUUUCAUCGAGCGUAGUAGUACCAUCGCGAGCGUGUGAGUAUUCUGUCGUCCUGCCUGUAUCAUAAUACAUUGGGAGAAACUAUGCUCCAGCAGAGCUCAUCGGUUUGACAGCACUGUAGGAAAGCGUAGGAAACGGUACCAUACAUAACGUGCUAACUGUAUCACCAUCGAUAAACGGUAUCCUUUACGGCAAUGCCCAUGUCUACAAUUUGUCACAAUCGAUGCUGCGCUCAUAUGGUGGCUUCAUAAAAGAAAAGUUUUUACUUUACUCGA